AAUGGGCGAAAGCCUGAUGCAGCAACGCCGCGUGAGCGAUGAAGGCCUUCGGGUCGUAAAGCUCUGUCCUCAAGGAAGAUAAUGACGGUACUUGAGGAGGAAGCCCCGGCUAACUACGUGCCAGCAGCCGCGGUAAUACGUAGGGGGCUAGCGUUAUCCGGAUUUACUGGGCGUAAAGGGUGCGUAGGCGGUCUUUCAAGUCAGGAGUGAAAGGCUACGGCUCAACCGUAGUAAGCUCUUGAAACUGUAAGACUUGAGUGCAGGAGAGGAGAGUGGAAUUCCUAGUGUAGCGGUGAAAUGCGUAGAUAUUAGGAGGAACACCAGUUGCGAAGGCGGCUCUCUGGACUGUAACUGACGCUGAGGCACGAAAGCGUGGGGAGCAAA
RNAcentral lists this ribosomal RNA (384 nucleotides) under uncultured bacterium. Its description in RNAcentral is "bacterial SSU rRNA". It matches the Rfam family "Bacterial small subunit ribosomal RNA", at positions 370 to 772 of the family's 1533-position model. The record is from RNAcentral.